GAGGGGGUAGCUCAGCCGGAUAGAGCAUCGGUUUUCUAAACCGACGGUCGCGGGUUCGAGUCCCGCCCCCCUCGCCA
Molecule: transfer RNA, 77 nt
Filed under: Opitutia bacterium
Lineage: Bacteria; Pseudomonadati; Verrucomicrobiota; Opitutia
Description: tRNA-Arg
Rfam family: tRNA
About the family: Transfer RNA (tRNA) molecules are approximately 80 nucleotides in length. Their secondary structure includes four short double-helical elements and three loops (D, anti-codon, and T loops).
Source: RNAcentral